Trifolium pratense (red clover) is the source of this 1682-nucleotide long non-coding RNA. RefSeq lists it as uncharacterized. NCBI's taxonomy places the organism in Eukaryota, Viridiplantae, Streptophyta, Magnoliopsida, Fabales, Fabaceae. The transcript has 9 exons. The record is from RefSeq and is a predicted model, not a curated record.
UUAUAUGAAUCUUACACAUCUUACACAUGGCUUAAUAUAAUUCUUUGCAUGUCUCAUGGCUGGUUUUGAGAUUGCUGGUUUAAAGAAACAAUUGGCACAAGUAGUUUAUGGAAACAAUUGUGGUUUUAUUAUUUCUUCCCCAGUGUUUUUUCAUUUGUCAAGUUUUUCUCUCUCCCCCCCCCCCCCUCUCUCUCGUACGCUCUCACUCUUUCUCCUCACACUUUCAUCUCUCUUUCUCCUCCCCAUCUCAUCCUUCACCAUAACAUCCACACCACACCCUCCACCACCAUCUACAAAUCAAUCACUCGUAAGAGUGAGGGAGUGGCCGAGUGAGAGAAGCCGGCGGGAGAGAAGUUCUUGUGGCCGUUUGUGGUGACACGGCGGUGCUUGGCAACGGCGGCAAUGAAGCUUCUUGCUCCUUCUUUCUCCUGGUUUGAUCUCAAAUUGCUCCAUAGAAGGAUAAGGCUCCUCCAUGAAAUUUGAUCUUUGGAUGUCAAUAAACUCAGGUGACUAGAAAAAUCACUAUGACCACAAUUUCAGAAAGAGAUGAAUGAUGGUUGGGUUGGUUUGGAAAAGGCACCUGAUGGAUCUUUCAAGAAGAAGAUUCUGGAUUAGGGGUAUGGCUUUUGUCUAGGGUUAAGCCAUCAGAGAUUUUUUUGAAAUCUAUAUCAAAGGAAGUUACUGGUGUUGAAGUCAUUUACCCAUCAAGGGUAAGGGAAUGAGUAUUUUCCGUAAGAGAAGGAACAAAUGUGAAACAGUACCAAGUAGAUAAGUAAGGUAUUGGAUGCCACCCUUGAAGAUUUGGAGUUUUCUAAUAAACACUGAAAGGAGAAGGAACUUUCAUAUAGAGUUGUGGUCAUGGGAUGAAGAAGCAAGAUCUCAUUUCAUCUAUUCUUUCUACAAAUGCCGAAUUAUGGACACAUCUAUCAACUAUGAUUUUGGAUAGAACUGGUUUAUGUAUCAAGAUUUCUUCAAAAGCUGAAUGUAAGGUCUUGGAUGCCACCCUUGAAGAUUUGGAGUAAGUGUGUUUAUCUAACUCAGUGCACUUUAUUCAAUCAUUUUUUGUAGUGUACUUAUCCACUUGGUUGUUUUUACAUUGAGAUUUUGAUAAUUUCCGAUUUUGUAGUUUUUUUUGUGUGUAGGUUUUGAUAUGUGAUUUCUUGAAUCCAUCAUGGGACAAGAGUGAGUAACAUGAAAUUUGAUUUGAGGGUAGUUUUGAUUCAGUUUCAAUUAUUGCUUUUGACAGUGUCGCUUCUACCGUCAAGUCCGCAGUUGAUAUUCAAACACCGGGUGAUCUUAUAACUCUUACUGCUGCAGCUGCAACAGCACACACAACAACGGCAGCAGAAUCUGCUUCACCAAUUGGAGCUAUAGGUGGUGCUGCUGAGUAAAGGAAAUAGACUAUAGGCGCUUUCGUAUGCUUUGAGUCUGUAUUAGGUGGUAGUUUAAUUAGUGUGAAUGAGAAUGUUAGCAAGUGAAGCUAUGGCUUUGAAGAGAUAUUAGUAGUUUAUUUAGAAGGAGCUUUAUCUUUGCAUAAGGAUUGACUAUUAACAGUAUUUUAUGGCCUACUCUUGACUUGUGUUAGUGUACUUUGGUCACUAGGAUGUACUUUUUAAUGUAUUGGUGUCUUUGUUUGAAAUAUUUGGUACUCUCUUAAUGAAAUAUAUCCGAUCUUCGGCUAA